Molecule: long non-coding RNA, 243 nt
Filed under: Prunus persica (peach)
Lineage: Eukaryota; Viridiplantae; Streptophyta; Magnoliopsida; Rosales; Rosaceae
Description: long non-coding RNA (PPER_LNC006700)
Source: RNAcentral
AAGAAUGCAACAGAAGAAUGGAAACCAAAAUACAACAGUUGCUCCAGACGGUCUCACACAGUCCCCUUCUUUGAGGACCUAUGCAACCGGUAGACGGUAGACUGAGACCUGAAUACAAAAUUCCACAAAACUAAAGCACUUGACGCAGUUUGAAUAGACUAUGUAGCAAAUGCAAUGAGGUAGAAUUAUGCACACAGUUUAACAGUUUUUCUUAUAUCCAGUCAUUUAGUAUCUGUUCCAAAG